CUGAUCCACGGAACAACGUGAAUUUUAGAUUUACUCCAUCCUGCUUAGUCUUUAGAAUUUUAGCAGCCAGGAAUGUAUACACUCCCACUUAUGGAUUAAGUGUGGGAGAGGAAGGUCUGUGACCCAUGUGUGCUAGCAAGUGACAAAUCAGAAACAACUGACUGACCCCCUGGGCUAUCCAAAGCCAAGUUUAAGCCACCAUUGGUACAUGUAAGACACAGGAAGUGAUGUAAAGAACUGCCUUUAUAUUUCACAUCACUUCCUGUGAGAGGGGAUUGUGGGUGGUGGACUUGACUUGGAGGAGCUCAAUCGUGAGACCUCAGACUACUUCCCUGAGACGAUCACGUGGUAUGAUUAUCCGAACUGUCAUUAAGCCAAGAGCCUACCAUUCAAGUGAAAUGCCAGGCUCUGGCCAAAGGGGAGGGCAGUCCAAUAACUUCUAUGGGUGGAUGCCUGUGCCUGGAGAACUUGAGGGGAUGACCUUGCAUAAGAGAAGCCUGCUGAUGACAUUGCUCCAUAUGAGGCACAAGAUUCAAAUAAAGACUGAAAGAUUAAAUGGUAUGUGAAAACCAAAAUUCUCUUAACUUUUAGGAGAAUUAUAGGUUCCUAAUUUGA
Molecule: long non-coding RNA, 615 nt
Filed under: Monodelphis domestica (gray short-tailed opossum)
Lineage: Eukaryota; Metazoa; Chordata; Mammalia; Didelphimorphia; Didelphidae
Description: lncRNA (ENSMODG00000030848.2)
Source: RNAcentral